Molecule: non-coding RNA, 27 nt
Filed under: Mus musculus (house mouse)
Lineage: Eukaryota; Metazoa; Chordata; Mammalia; Rodentia; Muridae
Source: RNAcentral
UAGACUCGAGUUGAGGCUAACUGUGCC